This 503-nucleotide long non-coding RNA is filed under the name Durio zibethinus. Its description in RNAcentral is "long non-coding RNA (DZIB_LNC000510)". Lineage: Eukaryota; Viridiplantae; Streptophyta; Magnoliopsida; Malvales; Malvaceae. The record is from RNAcentral.
CCCUGGUCACGGUAGUUUCUUUGUUGGCAGAAAUUGCAUCAAGAGUAGGAGUAGUUGUUGAUGCAGUGGAAGAGCUGGCGAGACUUGCAGAAUUCAAGCCUGCAAAGGAUCGGAAAUCCAAGCAACACCAACCUACUAAUUAACUUAUUUCAGAUAAUCUAAAUCAUCAAACCAUAUGAAGGGCCAACCCCAGAAGUUUGAGUAGACAUUGACAGAGAAAAUUGAUCUGCUUCUGUGUUUACCUUGUAAAGACGCUUAUAGGUUUGUCAAUUGCUUAUUGCUCGAUCGCUACAUAAAGAAAAUCUUGUUCAUUGCUCGUUUUGUCUAUUGCAUUACAUCUUGCAAUGCACCGACUCUGUUCAUGCGUUUCACUUUAUGCAAUUUUUAUUGCAUAGAUUGCGUCGAAAUAAUAGAUGUUGCAAAAUUCUCAGACCUACAUUGGAUUCUAGGACUGCAUGUUGCUUUACGCCUAAGUUAUAGUAUUCUUACUUUCUAGUUAUACA